This 405-nucleotide ribosomal RNA is filed under the name uncultured bacterium. Its description in RNAcentral is "bacterial SSU rRNA". It matches the Rfam family "Bacterial small subunit ribosomal RNA", at positions 370 to 772 of the family's 1533-position model. The record is from RNAcentral.
AAUGGGCGGAAGCCUGAUCCAGCCAUCCCGCGUGCAGGAUGAAGGCCCUCCGGGUCGUAAACUGCUUUAGACUGGGAAGAAACCACUUUUCGUGAGAAGUGUUGACGGUACCAGUAGAAUAAGCACCGGCUAACUCCGUGCCAGCAGCCGCGGUAAUACGGAGGGUGCAAGCGUUAUCCGGAAUCACUGGGUUUAAAGGGUGCGUAGGCGGCUUGGUAAGUCAGGGGUGAAAGCUUCGCGCUUAACGCGAGAACUGCCUUUGAUACUGCCGAGCUUGAAAGAGGUUGAGGUUAGCGGAACGUGACAUGUAGCGGUGAAAUGCAUAGAUAUGUCACAGAACACCAAUUGCGAAGGCAGCUGACUGGACCUACUUUGACGCUGAGGCACGAAAGCGUGGGGAGCGAA